GCCCUGCCAUAACACGGCAAUCAAAUAACCAAUUGCCCGCCAAAUAACUACGAGUAAAAACUUAAAAUUUAAAAGACUUGACGGUACUUCACAACAACCUAGAGGAGCCUGUCCAAUAACCGAUAAUCCACGAUUAACCCCACCCGUUUUUGCCCAACAGUCUAUAUACCGCCGUCGCCAGCUUACCUUGCAAAAGAAACAAAGCAAGCCAAACUGAACUACACUAACACGACAGGUCGAGGUGUAACUCAUAAACGGGUCAAAGAUGGGCUACAUUUUCUUACCAGAAGAAACGAACCGAGCAUGAAACAGCAACCUGAAGGCGGAUUUAGCAGUAAGAUAAAAAUAGAACAUUUACCUGAAACUAAUGCAAUGAAGUGCGUACACACCGCCCGUCAUCCCUGUAGAACACCAUAAACAUACAUAAACAUAAAUACCUCUUAAAGCAGGGCAAGUCGUAACAUGGUAAGCGUACUGGAAGGUGUGCUUAGAAA
Molecule: ribosomal RNA, 494 nt
Filed under: Myrrophis chinensis (Chinese water snake)
Lineage: Eukaryota; Metazoa; Chordata; Lepidosauria; Squamata; Homalopsidae
Description: partial 12S ribosomal RNA
Rfam family: Bacterial small subunit ribosomal RNA
Source: RNAcentral